Plectropomus leopardus (leopard coralgrouper) is the source of this 297-nucleotide non-coding RNA. The record is from RefSeq and is a predicted model, not a curated record. Lineage: Eukaryota; Metazoa; Chordata; Actinopteri; Perciformes; Serranidae.
GUCUUCAUCAUCAUCAUCAUCAGCAGCAGAGCCGACACACGUAUCAGUCCUACAUGGAGUCCAGCUGGAUGCCUCAUUUCCUGGCGGCCGUCUCUCCUCUGGUCAGCCUCGAAGACGAUCUGAUUGGUCAGCACAGGAGACGUGGGCGGGGCAGAAUGAGGAACGUGCCUGAGCUCUCAGAGGACCUUCAGGGAAACGACUACGAGGUGAGGAAGAGGAGGACGUUCUUCAUUUUGGUUUCCGUUCCUGAAGUUAUUCAGUUUUCAGCCUCGAACACAUUAAAAUUCUGCUUUCACA